This 439-nucleotide ribosomal RNA is filed under the name uncultured bacterium. RNAcentral's name for it is "partial 16S ribosomal RNA". It matches the Rfam family "Bacterial small subunit ribosomal RNA", at positions 339 to 795 of the family's 1533-position model. The record is from RNAcentral.
CUACGGGGGGCUGCAGUGGGGAAUUUUGCGCAAUGGGGGAAACCCUGACGCAGCGAUACCGCGUGAGUGAAGAAGGCCUUUGGGUCGUAAAGCUCUUUUCUAAGGGAAGAUAGUGACGGUACCUUAGGAAUAAGCGCCGGCUAACUCCGUGCCAGCAGCCGCGGUAAUACGGAGGGCGCGAGCGUUGUUCGGAUUUACUGGGCGUAAAGGGCGCGUAGGCGGCCUGGCAAGUUAAGGGUGAAAUCCCGGGGCUUAACCCCGGAACUGCUCUUAAAACUGCCAAGCUAGAGAUGGUCAGAGGCGGGUGGAAUUCCAGGUGUAGAGGUGAAAUUCGUAGAUAUCUGGAGGAACACCGGUGGCGAAGGCGGCCCGCUGGGGCCAUUCUGACGCUGAGGCGCGAAAGCGUGGGGAGCGAACGGGAUUAGAUACCCGCGUAGUC